GCCUGCCUACUCUAAGCACGGAGUUGCCAGCGGGAUCUCGCCGAAGGGUCAGGCGGGCAACUGAGCAGCGUUCACUCCCCGCUCUGUGUAGUGGAGGGAUAACGGGC
This 107-nucleotide non-coding RNA is filed under the name Physcomitrium patens. The record is from RNAcentral. Lineage: Eukaryota; Viridiplantae; Streptophyta; Bryopsida; Funariales; Funariaceae.